UUAAAUUGAAGAGUUUGAUCAUGGCUCAGAUUGAACGCUGGCGGCAGGCCUAACACAUGCAAGUCGAACGGUAACAGGAAGCAGCUUGCUGCUUUGCUGACGAGUGGCGGACGGGUGAGUAAUGUCUGGGAAACUGCCUGAUGGAGGGGGAUAACUACUGGAAACGGUA
RNAcentral lists this ribosomal RNA (169 nucleotides) under Escherichia sp. E2748. Its description in RNAcentral is "partial 16S ribosomal RNA". It matches the Rfam family "Bacterial small subunit ribosomal RNA", at positions 1 to 161 of the family's 1533-position model. Lineage: Bacteria; Pseudomonadati; Pseudomonadota; Gammaproteobacteria; Enterobacterales; Enterobacteriaceae. The record is from RNAcentral.